GAGCCUGAUUUCUUCCCGGGUCCCCCCAUAAAUCCCGCAAUUAAUCCCACAUCCACCGUCCCACCUGACUCUCACCCCCAUCUUGACUGCCUCCACGAGGCCGCCACAGCUCCAUUGCCGAGCUAACCACGCCCCUCGCUGAUCCGGUUCUCUCCUUCAGCGAUCUUCCAGUCCCACUGCGGCCGUGAGAUUCACCGCGCCGGUGUGGCAUCCCUCUGGUGGUUGCGCCUGCCAUUAUCCAUGGUACAAGCUCAGAACCCCCCUUGCCUUCCUGUUCCUCUCCCGUGUUGGUGUCCUAUGUGCCACCCAUGAUGUUCUCUCCUGCAUGGACAUCCCAAAGACGCUCUUAGGUGGCACAUGUGCUGGUCCUAUUGCUGCGUGUGAUGUGCCUUGCUGCUAAGCGUUGAUCCAGUUUGUUAGGAGAAAAGAAGAGAAAAGAAGCGGCGAAAGUGACACAGUCCAGUACAGAUCUCGCAUUGAAUCCUCCCCUAUAAGGGUUUCUCUGCCUACAACCUGAUGCAUUGUAAAGAUGUCGAGUACGCUACCACCAAGAUGUGGUGGUCUUAUUGAUGACGGCGAGCUCGCGUGCAUGUGAGAUAGUCCAGUCAGCGUGCUUGCGACGCUAACUAGACGGGUGGAAAAUAAUGUUGUUGUGAUAGCAAUUUUUAUUUCUUAAUAAUUUUUAAAAAUGAGGACAUAUGUAAUUACCAGUUGCAUAUUUUGCCCAGCCCUUCAUUGUCACCAUGGAAGCAAAUUCUCGAUAUAAUUGAAGCAAUGGUUCAUUGUCGUGGAAGCAUAUCCCAUAACGGAAGCAACAUGUGCUUACAACAGAACAAAAAUUUCAUUAUAUUCCAAGGAGAUAGGAGUUUGCUUCCAUCUGCCUAUUCACAACACAAGCAGACACAAAUUAUUCGACACAAAUGAUGGUAACAAUUUAUAUUAUUAUGGAAGCAAGUUGAGUCGAUGAUAGUAUAUUAUAAUUGAGUCGAAUGUUGAGUUGGAUAAAUUUUUUCUUACAUCGGGCUUGCUUGAUUUGUAUGGAGAUACAGGGUUAAUGCUCUGCCGAAUAUGCAUGCAAGGCACUGUUUUGGAUUGUUUGGCAUUUUAUGGCAACCUUCAGAUGUUGAUGCAAAAGACAAGUGACAUGUUACUGUUUUCAUAUGAUCUAUUUAAUUAGCUUUUGUCCAAUGUGGUCAUGGCACAAGGCACAAUUUUGCCAAAUGUAUUGCUUGAUACAGGUAGGGAACAUAAACACAUCUACAUGAGCUAUUUCAUUCUUUGCUUUGCUAUUUUAAUGCUUUGCUUUGCUAACUAUUGCUAUGUUAGUAACUUCCAAUAGCAUAUGACAUGAAAUAUUCAUUGCAUUUUAUUUUAUUUUGCACCCUGAUCCACUCACCCAAGAAGGGGCAGUUAUCCAUGAGUAGAAUCUUGGAUUAACUUGUAUCAAUCUUGUUUUUGUAAGGAUCGCAAUGAAGCAAAGUAGAAUCACAAGAGGACACAAAAGUUGUGUUUUAGUAGAACGUGUCAUAGUCUCAUCUUCGAUAGUAAUAUGCAAUGAUUUUUUUGUAAGUUUAAUAUUAGUAGCACGUUCCUUGUAAUUGAUCUACAGUGAUGGCGGCAACACUAAGCUAGAACCCAAUAUUGACUCAUUCAGCAUGGGCAUGCUGCUAGAUAUGCAUGCAUGUCAAUGCUUGUUUUACAUGGAGCUUCGUGAUGUACAUUGACCAUGAUGAUCCUUUCAUUUUUAUUAUCCAACUACUUAUAUUAUUUUAUCAGAACUUAAGGAUUCACUGAAGCUUGUGGCUUUCGAUUUUCUCAUCGAAAACUACAAAGCUUCACUGAAGGGAUGACACGACUUAAGUUCAAGUCAUUGAGGGAGUGAUAAUUCUUACAGAUCAAAGUAAACACCUAUCGUAUGUGGGUUUCAAAAAUACAAAAGUCUGAUAAUAGACAAAAACACUCAUCGUUCAACUUAUUUGUAUAUUUUUAUGAACUAUAUUAUUAGUGACGCUUUGUGGUCAAGGAUAUAAUUUUUUUUCUGUGGAUGAAUUGAGUUAUUAAAUUUCAUUCCAGGCUUGAGCAUGACAAUGAGUAGAGGUGCACAAUGUGUGUACAAGAUUGUUACACUAUCAUCUUAGCCCAGUUUUGCACA
Molecule: long non-coding RNA, 2152 nt
Organism: Triticum aestivum (bread wheat)
Lineage: Eukaryota; Viridiplantae; Streptophyta; Magnoliopsida; Poales; Poaceae
Exons: 3
Source: RefSeq, a predicted model, not a curated record